GAUUGAGGAGCACCAAAGCAAGGGAGAUCGAGAGAGAGAGAGAGAGAGAAAUCGGGUAAGAGAGUGAGUGGCCGAGGAAUGGCCAUUUCCAGCAACCAUGGCCGAGAAGCAAAGCUUCGAUGCUCGGCCAUGGUGGUCAAGGAAGGAGGAGCAACAGGGGGAAGGCGCAACGGAGGAUGGCGGUAACGUCCGGGCGGCUUGCGAUGGCGUAAGGAAGCAACGGAAGUGACCGUUGCAGUAGCGAACGGCCAUGGCAGCAAGCUCAGCGUGGCCAUGGCCGACGCGCAGUGAACAGAGCCGCGAGCAGCGGCUGGGCGCGGCCGGCAGUGCUGCGCGAGCAGCCUCCAGCGAGGUCGGGGGCCGGUGCGAGGCCGGCGGGAGGCGCUAGCAGCGGCGAAGGCGUUGGCAAGGAGGCUGGAGACCUCGGCAGCAGCUGGUUCGAUCGGCCAUGGCAGCCAUGGCUGAUGCGCAGUAAGUUGCUGCGAUGGCGGCAACAGUCGCGGCGGAGGGCGGUGGUGCGUGGCGCUCGGGUCCGAGAGGCCGAGGCGGCCGGCGGCGGAGGGCCGAGUGGCAGUUCGCGGUGGCGGCCGCGGCGGAUGGAGCGCGCGGGAGCUACAGGCGCGGUGCAGAGGAAGAAGAAGGAGGAGAAGGGAAAAAGAAAAAGAAGAAAGAAAAAGAAAGAAAAAGAAAAGAAAGAAAAGAAAAGAAAGAAAAGGAAGAAAAAAAGAAAAGGAAAUUGGGAAAAAUGUUGAAAAGUCCUAGAAAAAUUAUGAAAAUUAAGAAAUGAAGAUGUAAUGAUAUCCCGAAGAUUUUAGUGAGAAAAACAGCCCGGGCACGCGUUUCAAGGAUUAGAGUACGCAUACCGAAGAAACCGGAGAUGCUAAGUUAAAGAUACGUUGAGGCUGAAUUGAAGAGACUCGCGCAAAUUUUGAGGUUGGCACGCAAAUCGAGGCAAGAAUUUCGAGGUAGCCCGAUAAACUCUAAAAGCGUUCCAGUUGGGACUUGCAGAGAUGAUUCCGAGAAUGGUGAUAUGUAGUAAUGUGAGACGUCAAGAAGCGAGUAAAUGUAUCAUGUUAUGUUGUAAUAUGAGUAGUUUAAGAAUUAUGUACAUUGUAUUGUCAGACGCUUAUGAAUUAACUUUGUAAUGAAUAUCAUGUCUAGUUAUUAUUAUAUGAGCAGGUUCGAUUCAGCUUCCGCUUUGUAUUUAUUUUCUAGUGUAGAUAUCUCGCACUAGAUAAGGUCUUAGGGAAUUUCGAGAUAAUGUAAAGAAA
Diospyros lotus (date-plum) is the source of this 1271-nucleotide long non-coding RNA. RefSeq lists it as uncharacterized. The record is from RefSeq and is a predicted model, not a curated record. NCBI's taxonomy places the organism in Eukaryota, Viridiplantae, Streptophyta, Magnoliopsida, Ericales, Ebenaceae. The transcript is spliced from 3 exons.